This 2900-nucleotide ribosomal RNA is filed under the name Klebsiella pneumoniae MGH 39. Its description in RNAcentral is "bacterial LSU rRNA". It matches the Rfam family "Bacterial large subunit ribosomal RNA". Lineage: Bacteria; Pseudomonadati; Pseudomonadota; Gammaproteobacteria; Enterobacterales; Enterobacteriaceae. The record is from RNAcentral.
UUAAGCGACUAAGCGUACACGGUGGAUGCCCUGGCAGUCAGAGGCGAUGAAGGACGUGCUAAUCUGCGAAAAGCGUCGGUAAGGUGAUAUGAACCGUUAUAACCGGCGAUGUCCGAAUGGGGAAACCCAGUGUGAUUCGUCACACUAUCGUUAACUGAAUACAUAGGUUAACGAGGCGAACCGGGGGAACUGAAACAUCUAAGUACCCCGAGGAAAAGAAAUCAACCGAGAUUCCCCCAGUAGCGGCGAGCGAACGGGGAGCAGCCCAGAGUCUGAAUCAGCUUGUGUGUUAGUGGAACGGUCUGGAAAGUCCGACGGUACAGGGUGAUAGUCCCGUACACCAAAAUGCACAGGUUGUGAACUCGAAGAGUAGGGCGGGACACGUGGUAUCCUGUCUGAAUAUGGGGGGACCAUCCUCCAAGGCUAAAUACUCCUGACUGACCGAUAGUGAACCAGUACCGUGAGGGAAAGGCGAAAAGAACCCCGGCGAGGGGAGUGAAAAAGAACCUGAAACCGUGUACGUACAAGCAGUGGGAGCACCUUCGGGUGUGACUGCGUACCUUUUGUAUAAUGGGUCAGCGACUUAUAUUCUGUAGCAAGGUUAACCGUAUAGGGGAGCCGCAGGGAAACCGAGUCUUAACUGGGCGUUAAGUUGCAGGGUAUAGACCCGAAACCCGGUGAUCUAGCCAUGGGCAGGUUGAAGGUUGGGUAACACUAACUGGAGGACCGAACCGACUAAUGUUGAAAAAUUAGCGGAUGACUUGUGGCUGGGGGUGAAAGGCCAAUCAAACCGGGAGAUAGCUGGUUCUCCCCGAAAGCUAUUUAGGUAGCGCCUCGUGAAUUCAUCUUCGGGGGUAGAGCACUGUUUCGGCUAGGGGGUCAUCCCGACUUACCAACCCGAUGCAAACUACGAAUACCGAAGAAUGUUAUCACGGGAGACACACGGCGGGUGCUAACGUCCGUCGUGAAGAGGGAAACAACCCAGACCGCCAGCUAAGGUCCCAAAGUCAUGGUUAAGUGGGAAACGAUGUGGGAAGGCACAGACAGCCAGGAUGUUGGCUUAGAAGCAGCCAUCAUUUAAAGAAAGCGUAAUAGCUCACUGGUCGAGUCGGCCUGCGCGGAAGAUGUAACGGGGCUAAACCAUGCACCGAAGCUGCGGCAGCGACACUAUGUGUUGUUGGGUAGGGGAGCGUUCUGUAAGCCUGCGAAGGUGUGCUGUGAGGCAUGCUGGAGGUAUCAGAAGUGCGAAUGCUGACAUAAGUAACGAUAAAGCGGGUGAAAAGCCCGCUCGCCGGAAGACCAAGGGUUCCUGUCCAACGUUAAUCGGGGCAGGGUGAGUCGACCCCUAAGGCGAGGCCGAAAGGCGUAGUCGAUGGGAAACAGGUUAAUAUUCCUGUACUUGGUGUUACUGCGAAGGGGGGACGGAGAAGGCUAUGUUAGCCGGGCGACGGUUGUCCCGGUUUAAGCAUGUAGGCUGAUUGUCCAGGCAAAUCCGGAUAAUCAAGGCUGAGGUGUGAUGACGAGGCACUACGGUGCUGAAGUAACAAAUGCCCUGCUUCCAGGAAAAGCCUCUAAGCAUCAGGUAACAUCAAAUCGUACCCCAAACCGACACAGGUGGUCAGGUAGAGAAUACCAAGGCGCUUGAGAGAACUCGGGUGAAGGAACUAGGCAAAAUGGUGCCGUAACUUCGGGAGAAGGCACGCUGGUGUGUAGGUGAAGUCCCUGCGGAUGGAGCUGAGACCAGUCGAAGAUACCAGCUGGCUGCAACUGUUUAUUAAAAACACAGCACUGUGCAAACACGAAAGUGGACGUAUACGGUGUGACGCCUGCCCGGUGCCGGAAGGUUAAUUGAUGGGGUUAUCCGUAAGGAGAAGCUCUUGAUCGAAGCCCCGGUAAACGGCGGCCGUAACUAUAACGGUCCUAAGGUAGCGAAAUUCCUUGUCGGGUAAGUUCCGACCUGCACGAAUGGCGUAAUGAUGGCCAGGCUGUCUCCACCCGAGACUCAGUGAAAUUGAACUCGCUGUGAAGAUGCAGUGUACCCGCGGCAAGACGGAAAGACCCCGUGAACCUUUACUAUAGCUUGACACUGAACAUUGAGCCUUGAUGUGUAGGAUAGGUGGGAGGCUUUGAAGCGUGGACGCCAGUCUGCGUGGAGCCAACCUUGAAAUACCACCCUUUAAUGUUUGAUGUUCUAACGUUGGCCCCUGACCGGGGUUGCGGACAGUGUCUGGUGGGUAGUUUGACUGGGGCGGUCUCCUCCCAAAGCGUAACGGAGGAGCACGAAGGUUAGCUAAUCCUGGUCGGACAUCAGGAGGUUAGUGCAAUGGCAUAAGCUAGCUUGACUGCGAGCGUGACGGCGCGAGCAGGUGCGAAAGCAGGUCAUAGUGAUCCGGUGGUUCUGAAUGGAAGGGCCAUCGCUCAACGGAUAAAAGGUACUCCGGGGAUAACAGGCUGAUACCGCCCAAGAGUUCAUAUCGACGGCGGUGUUUGGCACCUCGAUGUCGGCUCAUCACAUCCUGGGGCUGAAGUAGGUCCCAAGGGUAUGGCUGUUCGCCAUUUAAAGUGGUACGCGAGCUGGGUUUAGAACGUCGUGAGACAGUUCGGUCCCUAUCUGCCGUGGGCGCUGGAGAAUUGAGGGGGGCUGCUCCUAGUACGAGAGGACCGGAGUGGACGCAUCACUGGUGUUCGGGUUGUCAUGCCAAUGGCACUGCCCGGUAGCUAAAUGCGGAAGAGAUAAGUGCUGAAAGCAUCUAAGCACGAAACUUGCCCCGAGAUGAGUUCUCCCUGAGACUUUAAGUCUCCUGAAGGAACGUUAAAGACGAUGACGUUGAUAGGCCGGGUGUGUAAGCGCAGCGAUGCGUUGAGCUAACCGGUACUAAUGAACCGUGAGGCUUAACCUU